CCGCCCGCACGACCUCCUCCUCCUCCUCCCGCAGCCGCGCCGUUCGCCUCCCGCAGCCGCGCCCUUCACCGCCUCCUCGCGCCGCCGGAGCCACGGGAAGCGGCCGCGGGUCGCCAGGAGCCUCCCCGACCGCGGGAGCCCGCCCCGCUCCCGCCGCGGCUCGUCGGGAGCCUCCCCUGCCGCCGAAGCCGCCCCGCCGCAGCUUGGCCUCCGCCACUCCGCCACUCCGCCGGAGCGAGUCUCUCUCCUCUUCUCUUGGGAUGGGACGCCUUCUCUCCUCUGCUCCCAGCCGGAUCCAAUCCACCUCGCCCCAGCAUGCAGCCACGGAAGGCCAGGUCCGUGCGCCUCUUUCCCAUGGCCAUGGAGUCGCCGCAGCCGCCAUGGAAUGCCUGGAUGUCGUCAAGGUCCCUCUUCUCCUCUCCCAACUGGACUCUUGAUUGUUUUGGAUUUGGCGGCUCCCCUCACUCACACCCUCCCUCCCUGAUGCAGAUGCACGCAGGUGCAGCACCUACACCGAUGGCUGCUCUUGAGACACAGACAACAUAGGAGAGGACAAGUCCAGAAUUGCUAGACUGAAUCUAUCCAUCUGCUCUGCUCUCGGGACAACAGAGGAGAGGACGAGUCCAGAAUUGCUUGACUGAAUCUAUCCAUCUGCUCAGCUCAGUUCAUGCAGGUCAGGUCACAUCACGGAGGGAUUCCUGCGAAUCUACAUUCAACUUCAAUUAAUUUAUUAUUAGUACUAGGUGGGUGUGAGAAAACUGAAAUUUUUAGAUGCAUGCUUGCUUGGAUGCGUGUCACACAACACUGUUUGCUCGUCUCAACUCUGUGUUUUUGCUUCUGUACCAACAUCUUCUCAACUUUGUGUUCUAUUUAUGGAAAUUGUAGAGGCUAGAGACAUAGCAAUCGUCAGGCUUCAGUUUUGUACUGACCACUCCAAGGCUUGUUCAACCUGGUGAAUCUUUCCUUCAUCUGCAUCAUUUUUCGCUUCAGUCUGUACAUCCUCGCCCUCCGCACAUCCUCGCCCUCCGCCCGCCGAUCCUAUUCUCCGCCGCCCGCCUUCCUCUGCUCAUCCUCUGCCGCCGCCGAUCUCAUCUGAGCCAGUAAGUUUUCUUUACAUUCAAGUGUGCAUUGUUUGAACAACAUGCUUGUGGUUCUAUUCUUUCCACACAAGAUAAUCUGAUACAUACAUGAUCCUUCUGGUUAUGAUUAUUUUAGUGCAUACAUACAUGAUUCUACCACACAGCAGGAACAAUUAUUCUGGAACAAUUGCCGUAUGUGAAUUAUCAUGAUCCAACGCCAAUGCCACACUCAGCGCCAAAAGGGUUACAGUUUAUGAGGACAUAUUUAAUUAGUGAGGAUUUCAGAAAUUUGUAGUCCAAGCAACUCAUACAUUUGAAGUUUUGUUGCUUACCUUCCCAUCCCAUUGUGUUGCUAUGCUCCUGAAGUUGCCUAACUACAGGAAAGGAGGCCAAAGUUUUGCUAUAUUGGGUUAUCCACAAUAGUAUCGGCAGCGAUGUUUUGUUUUGUCACAACUACUCAAAUAUAUAAUCUAAAUAAUCUAAAUAUAUAAUCUGCACAUUGUAGUUUGAGUUAAAAAAUAGCACAUUGUAGUUUUAAUUUUAUUUUUUUUAAAACCCACGUGUUUUGUUGUUUCAAGAGAUUGAGUCAUGGGCUGUGAGCAAGCAUUAUAUAUUGACAUGAAAGGUAGAUCUAUUUAGAUCAUGAAGGUUUGCGCACCGUGAUGCAAAGGCCGUAUGCAUCGACGAGGCGAAGGUGGGGCUUACCGGGAUGGGUUGAGAGGAGGCAGUGGAGAGAGGAAAUGGGAGAGGCGGAUGGUGAAUAUAGGAGGUGAAAAAGGAUGCAUCUACUUAGUCCUUCUGUUGAAUGCAUAAAAGGCACCCUGCAGCCUCUCUGCUUGCAAAAUAGAUGCUCUCUGCUUGGUACACUCAUGACAUUAAACCUUUCAUCUCCAGUUAGAGAUGCAACUUGAAUUGACCUAAAAAAUUCUAUUUUUGAGUAUUACCUUCUUCCACACCUCUGCAACAUCUUCUGAAGCCUCUACUCUUAACCAGUAUGCUGCUAUCACUUUCUCAAAUUUUAUACGGGAAAAUAAUGUAGUAGUUUUUUUAAAAAAAUUGUGCAAGCUAAUAUGUUUCAAGAUUCAUGAAACAUAUGUUUCAACAUUCAAAAGUUUACAUAAAAACCAUAUGCGGCAAAACUAAAUGACAUUUUGAAAUAUAUAAUUUUGACAGAAUGAAAACAAAUUCAGUUUCCUCUUCCUCCCUAACUACGCAUACUUUAUUUCUACAGGUACAAAUAUUGCCACUCAUCAACAUCUGCAGCAUCUAAGGUCCUUUUCGUCACAUAUUCAUAUUUACUUGAGAUUCUGCUUACUUUGUUUGCACCAUUUAAUAAUUGAGCUUCUCAAUAUUGCAUGAAUAUUUCUAAUGAUGUACGAUGUUCCCCAUUUCUUUAACAUCCCUGGCAUGUGUGUGCUCCAUUAGUGAAUGACAAAUUUCUGAAUUUUUGUGAUGAACAAUGUUUACGUUCGUUUAGGCAGCUCACCGGCAUCCAUCAUGGUUUGCUAUUUUAGAAUUAAUCAAGAUUACCUUUCAGGCUUCUUCCGUUGCCUAGCUAAUUCCCUCCUUGUAGGCCAUGUUGUGGUCUGAAAUUGAACGUAUACAUAUGAUCCUGGUUUUUCUACACCGCCAACUUUACUAUUGAUUAUUCCUAGAACCUUAAGUUGAUCUGAAUAGACAUAGCGAAGUAGAUGCAAACUUCAGGAUAAAAGCAUGUAUAUCAUGGAAUGAUAGGAAGAGGGCUCUGAGCUAGACAUGUUGAUUAUACUGUUUAAUGUUAGCUCCAUCAAUACUGAUACAUAUACAAUUUCCUGUUGUAGAUAGGUAAAUAUUUUGCAAGUAAUGUAAUUUGGUAAAUAAGCUAAAGUAUUAACCUUACUGCUAUCUCAAAGUAUGAUGCGAUUAUUCAGUAUCCAUUGCCUGAUAUAGUCAGUCAGAGGCAUCAAAUCAAAUCUCCCUUAAAUGAUUAAAUCAUUUAACUGCACAUCACAAGUAUCAGCCUCCAUCUGCCACCAAUAUUGCAAGAAACAAGGCAUGCUGAUCUAAUAACCAUCUUUAUAUAUAUUUUUAACCUAACAAGUGAGCUGAUGAUCAGGAAAUCAUGUUUAACUAUCAAUAAAUGAUCCCAUUUCUUGGUUCAGUGAAGUGAUUAUGUGGAUCUUGUGAGGAAAACAGAUAGGCCAAGAAGCCUGGGAGGUUGUCUACAGUCACUGGCCUGGUAUGUGACCUGCUUGCAUCUUCUAAAUUAUCUUCUAAAUUAGUAUGAAUUUUUUCUGCUCAAAAACAGUUUUCUAUGAUAUUUGUAAUUUCCACGUUUCGAUUGAGCUUCUUACGAUCUAUCAGUAAGGCCUCUCAGGUUUUAGAUUUGUGAUUAGAUCGUUGCAUAUAAGCCAAAAUGAGUCUAUGAUAAGGGAAAUAAACUGGCUACGCUUACCGUAUGGAUGAAACUGAAGAGUGAAGUGAUAUUUCUUUCUACCAUUGCAUAGCUUUACCAUCACCGAUCCAUGUUAAGUGUGAUUUGUUUCUCUGUACAUUAUUCGGAUACAAAGGAUUCGAGCUGAAAAGAAGAUGCAGUGGAGAACAUUAUCACAAGUUAGCAUUUCCUGUGAAACGAAGACCAUUAUAUAUAACAUUGAUUAAUUUGUAAAAAAAUGCUGAUAGCCAAAGGUUAAUGCUGAUAGACCAUUAUAUAUAAACACUUGAAAUAAUUCAGUUAUGGUUUCUAUCAAUAUAUUGUUUCUACUACAUAUAUAUAUUACUUUUAGCUGCGCAAUUUCGUCCGACAGCCAAAGGCUUGUCUAUUAGUAUCUUUUGUAUUUGAUGGGAUCUUGUAACGAGAAAAAACCUUCGGAGCAAGAAACAGGAAACUAAAGGCUUGAUAGUAUUGUACUAUUUUAUCUCACUGGAAAAUUAUGUGUACUCAUUAAUACGUGCAUUUGCACGUACACGAUUACUAGUAGCAAAGGAAAACACAUACUCGCGGAAAGCGCCUCCACUUACGCUGACUUGGUCGUGCUUCUGGUCGCUUACAGGUGGGUUUGAGGCGACACGGGCCUGCCUGGCUCACCUUCGUCUUCUUCCUCGCCCUGCCACACACAGGAACAUAGGAGGGAGCAGCGGAGGGGCGUUGCCGCAACGGGCCGACCGGGCGGGAGGCACCGGCGGGCUCGGGAGGAUGCGUUGCACUCGUCCAGACGGAGAGUAGGCGCCGGGGAAGACCAGGGCAGCCGCGGCUUGAGGCGACAAAGGGCAAGGGCGGGCGGCAGCCGGACUUGGGGGCAGCUGCCACAGGCACUCCGGCGGCGAGAUUGUCACACCGGUGCUGCAUACCACCGUGUGACUGCCAGUUGGCAUGCCAAGUGUAAGCGUGUGUGGUCCCACAUGUAAGCCGCUAGGGCCAGGAGCCAGUAGGUGUGCGUGUGUACUUAAGCCCUGGAGAUGGGCGUGUAUCGCAAGUCUGAAGAAGUAAACUAUUUCCCCUCCUCUGUUUUCUCCUCUGCUCAUCCCCUUCUCCAAGUUUAUCUCAUCCCCCUUCCCCAGAUCCCCUCUCUGCCUACUCUGGUUGCCUGCGACACAGAUCGGGGCGUUACAAUUGGUAAUCAAAGCCUCCGAUCCUGCCCCAAAUUUUUUUUUCGCUGCUGCCUCCUGAUUUGGAUCGGUAACAUCCACCGCCUCGGGUGUGACUUGCUCCGGCGAGAUCACGCAAAAUCCCCGGUGGGGUUCGAUCUAGCAGGGGUGCGAGACGGCACCGUCCAAGCCCUCCGUCCAGACCCGGCAGUUGCUGGCGGCCAUGGACGACAACACCACCAGCCUCAAGGCCAUGAUGGAGACGAUUCUCGCGCGCCUCGACGAACAGAAGGUCGACAGCGACAAGCGGCUCGAGGCGCAGAUCGCCUUCAACACCCAAGUCUCGCAAGAUCUACGCUCCCUCGCCAAGCAAGUCGAUCUCACGCAGGCGGAUGUCGACGAGACUCGCAAGGCGCUGGAGAGAUCGCCCUCACCGUCGGAAUCGCACGCCCCGACCGUGCUCCAUCCACCACCACCACCACCUCCGCGGCCCCAGGCCCCGGCGCCACAGCACCAACAUGGGUCACCGCCGUCUCCGCGCCUCUUAGACCAGCGCCCGCCCCUGUUGGCCACAGCACCACAACCCGGCGUCCAAUCCCAGCACCAGCAGUACCACCAGAUCGGCGAGGCGCACCACCAGCAGCAGCACCACGGUGACCACUACGUCAAGCCGCCGAAGCACGACUUCCCUCGCUUCGAUGGCAGCGCGCCUUACCUCUGGCUCGACCGCUGCCGGGCAUAUUUUGACCUCUACCAUGUGCCGCCCACGAGUUGGGUGACCACGGCGACACUAUACAUUGAAGGGCAAGCGGCUCACUGGCUUCAGGCAUUUCGCCAAACACAUGGCGGACUCGGUUGGAAUGCGUUCUGCGCUGCGAUUCAAGAGGAGUUCGGGGUUGACGAAUUUGAGAUGGAGAUGCACAAAUUGUUGCAGCUCCGUCAGAUUGGCACGGUCAGCGAGUAUCGCAAGGAGUUCGAUACAUACAUGUAUCAUCUCCUGGCACUCGACCCAUCUCUCAGCAACAAAUUCUUCAUCACUCAAUUUUUGCUGGGCCUCAAGGACGAGUUGCGCGCAGCAGUUCGACUGCAGGCGCCCAACAGCAUCACGCGUGCGUCCAUUCUCGCACGCAUUCAAGAGGAGGAGCUGAACACGCCCAGGGCGCAUCCACGGCCGCAGCCGCAGGGCCGCCCACCACCACCGGUGCCCGCCCGGCCGCCGGCCACGCCCCGCCAAUAGCCCGACGACUACGGCCGCGAACGACAACUCAAGGAGUUCCGGCGCGCCAACGGACUCUGCUUCAAGUGCGGAGACCGGUACACUCGGGAUCACCACUGCAACACGCAGGCCCAGCUCCUCACCAUCCAAGUGGGCGCAUACGGGGAGCUGCUCACCGACGACACCGUGCACGCUCUCGACCUGCUCGAUGCACCCCAACAAGAAGCACCCCCUCCAGAGUGUUGCACAAUAUCAGCGCACGCCCUGGAUGGCUCGGAGGCGCCAAGCACAAUCCGUCUCCGCGCGCUUGUGGGCAACCAAGUUAUGCUCCUUCUUCUGGACUCUGGGAGCACCCACAGCUUCGUCAACAAGUCGUUCGUCGAGCGCGUUGGGGCGACAACGCAAGAGAUCGCCACAUUGGAGGUGCGGGUGGCCAACGGCGACCGACUAACCUGCUCGCGCCAAGUUUCGGAGCUCCAGUGGUGGAUGCAGGGCCACACGUUCUCGACGCCGAUGUACGAGCUCGACACAGGCGCAUACGAUGGAAUCCUAGGCAUGGACUGGUUGGAGAAGAACAGCCCCAUGACUUGCCACUGGCAGGAGAAAUUCAUCUCCUUCCUGCACGAGGGCGAGACAGUCAAGCUACAAGGUGUUCGUCCAAAGUCGACACCCACUCUCGCAGCGGUGCAACCGGCAGAACUAUGCAAGUUGAUCGCCGGCAAUGAUAUCUGGGCAAUGGCCAUGGUCGAGAUGCAGCCCCCCAAACCAAGACCACGCAAGCCCUCGCAGACGCCCAUCAACGAUCUCCUGGAAGAAUUCAGCGACGUGUUCACCGCACCCACCGGCUUGCCUCCCCACAGGCAGUAUGAUCACGCGGUCACAUUGGAAGAUGGAGCCCAGUCAACAAACACACGGCCCUACCGCUACUCUCCAUUGCAAAAGGACGAGAUUGAGCGGCAGGUCAAAGAAAUGCUCGACGCCGGUGUGAUCACGCACUCGGUCAGUCCAUACGCGGCGCCAGUUUUGCUUGUGAAGAAGAAGGAUGGCACCUGGCGAUUCUGCGUGGAUUACAGGCGUCUCAAUGACGUGACCGUGAAGAACAAGUUUCCCUUGCCGUCGUCGACGAGCUACUCGAUGAACUUGCCGGAGCGUCUUUCUUCUCCAAGCUUGACCUGCGCGCAGGCUACCAUCAAAUUCGCAUGCGCGAACAGGAUGAACACAAGACAGCAUUCAAAACUCACCACGGCCAUUUCCAAUUCAGAGUCAUGCCAUUCGGGUUGACAAAUGCUCCGGCCACGUUCCAAUGCCUGAUGAACGCUAUCUUCGCCAAGUAUACCCGUAAGUUUGUCAUCAUUUUUCUUGACGACAUCCUUGUUUUCAGUGAGACACUCGAGGACCAUUUGGAACAUCUCCGCAUCAUCCUCAACUUGCUCCGCGAGCACCAGCUAUAUGCCAAGAUGUCCAAGUGCUCGUUCGCGCAAGAUCACAUUGAUUAUCUGGGUCACGUCAUCUCCAAGCAGGGCGUCGCGACUGAUGCUGAGAAGACAGACGCCAUGGCGCAGUGGCCUACUCCAACCAACGCCACCGAGCUCCGUGGCUUUCUGGGGCUCACCGGCUAUUACCGCAAGUUCGUUCCCCACUACGGGAUCAUUGCCAAGCCGCUAACCCAACAGCUCACCAAGAAAGGCUUUGCAUGGCCCGAGUCGGCGCAGCUCGCGUUCGACACGCUCAAGAAGGCGAUGGUGACCACGCCGGUGCUCGCCCUUCCUGACUUUGACAAGCCAUUCUCCAUCGAAACCGACGCCUGCGACACCGGCAUCAGUGCCGUGCUCGUCCAAGACGGCCACCCCAUCGCAUACUACAUCAAGGCGUUGGGCGUGAAGAACCAGAAGCUCUCCACCUACGAGAAAGAGUUCUUGGCCGUCAUGAUGGCCGUGGACAAAUGGCGCUCUUACCUGCAACGCGGGCCGUUCACCAUUGUCACGGACCACAAAAGCUUAUGCACGCUUGGGGACCAGCAUCUGGUGACCGAUGUCCAGCGCCGCGCCAUGUCCAAAUUGGUCGGCCUCCAAUUCAAGUUCCAGUACAAGAAGGGCGUCGACAACAGCGCGGCGGAUGCUCUCUCUAGCGUGGGCAGUCACUACAGCGCCAAUGCUCUGUCCCUCUGCCAGCCAACAUGGAUUCAGGAAGUGGCCAAUUCGUAUGCCACGGAUCCAGAUGCCCAGGAAAAGAUUCAGCAGCUCGCGCUGCACAGUCCGGACGACGAGGAGUACGAGCUGUACCGUGGAGUCAUUCGCCGUCGCGGGUGGCUGUGGAUCGGCGCAAACACAGCCCUGCGCACCAAACUGAUCAGCGCUCUGCAUGACAGUGCCGUGGGGGGCCAUUCUGGCUCGACAGCAACUUACCACCGAGUCAAGAAGCUGUUUGAGUGGAAGGGUCUGAAACAUGAUGUUGAAGAUUAUGUGCGGCAGUGCCAGAUUUGUUAACAGGCGAAGCAUGAAUUGCAUAAACCAGCAGGCAAGUUGGCACCCCUGCCCAUUCCGACAGCCCCGUGGCGUGAUCUGACAAUGGACUUCGUCGAGGGCUUGCCCAAGUCCGAAGGGUAUGACACAAUCAUGGUGGUUGUCGACCGCUUCACCAAGCUUGCACACUUUGUGCCCCUGCGACACCCAUUCACGGCGACACGAGUGGCAAGAGUGUUCUGGGACAACAUCGUCAAGCUGCACGGCAUCCCCUCCUCCAUCGUCUCCGACCGCGACAAAGUGUUCACCAGCGUGCUUUGGCGGGAACUGCUAGCCAGCGCGGGCACCAAGCUCCUCUACUCCACUGCCUAUCACCCCCAGACGGACGGACAAAGCGAGCGCAUGAACCAGUGCAUGGAGAUGUACUUGCGCUGCGCUGUUCACGACACUCCCACGCAAUGGUGUCACUGGCUGCCCUCUGCAGAAUUCUGGUACAACUCCUCUUUCCACUCUUCUCUGGGUUGCUCUCCGUUCAAGGCUCUGUAUGGGGUGGAUGCCAACGAGGGCAGCAUGGCAACAUGGCCGGCAACACAAGCAUCAUUGCCGGAAGGGGAGCAGUGGGAUUGGGCACUGCACAAGGAAAACUUGCAGGCACAGUUGACCCGGGCGCAACAGAAGUACAAAAAGUUUGCAGACAGAAACCGCACUGAGCGCGUCUUUCAGGUUGGGGAGCAAGUACUGCUGAAACUGCAACCCUAUGUGCAGAAAUCGGUGGCCAGCCGCCCGUGCGCCAAGCUGGCGUUCAAGUUCUUCGGACCAUUCACCAUCAGCGCCAAAAUUGGUCCCUCGGCAUACAAGCUGGAGCUGCCGCCCGACAGUCGCAUUCACCCUGUGUUCCAUGUGUCCCAGCUGAAGCCGUUCACACCCAAUUAUACACCAGUGUUCUCCGAACUGCCUGCAACCGUCGACUUAUCAGCAGUGGACUCUAACCCAGUUCAGAUUUUGGAUCGGAGGAUGAUGAAGAGAGGAGACGCACCAGUGGUUCAGGUGCAGGUGGCAUGGAACACAACUCCUCUGUCGACAACCUGGGAAGACUAUGAAGUUCUUCGACGUCGCUAUCCACAGUCACCAAUCUGGGAAGACAGUAACUCCGAAGAAGGGGCCGUUUCUCAAGGCGGGGAGAAUGUCACACCGGUGCUGCAUACCACCGUGUGACUGCCAGUUGGCAUGCCAAGUGUAAGCGUGUGUGGUCCCACAUGUAAGCCGCUAGGGCCAGGAGCCAGUAGGUGUGCGUGUGUACUUAAGCCCUGGAGAUGGGCGUGUAUCGCAAGUCUGAAGAAGUAAACUAUUUCCCCUCCUCUGUUUUCUCCUCUGCUCAUCCCCUUCUCCAAGUUUA
RNAcentral lists this long non-coding RNA (9720 nucleotides) under Triticum aestivum (bread wheat). RNAcentral describes it as "long non-coding RNA (TAES_LNC003289)". The record is from RNAcentral. Lineage: Eukaryota; Viridiplantae; Streptophyta; Magnoliopsida; Poales; Poaceae.